UUAAUCGGGGCAGGGUGAGUCGACCCCUAAGGCGAGGCCGAAAGGCGUAGUCGAUGGGAAACGGGUUAAUAUUCCCGUACUUGGUGUUACUGCGAAGGGGGGACGGAGAAGGCUAUGUUGGCCGGGCGACGGUUGUCCCGGUUUAAGCGUGUAGGUGUGUGUUCCAGGUAAAUCCGGUUCACUUUAACACUGAGGCGUGAUGACGAGGCACUACGGUGCUGAAGCAACAAAUGCCCUGCUUCCAGGAAAAGCCUCUAAGCAUCAGGUAACAUCAAAUCGUACCCCAAACCGACACAGGUGGUCAGGUAGAGAAUACCAAGGCGCUUGAGAGAACUCGGGUGAAGGAACUAGGCAAAAUGGUGCCGUAACUUCGGGAGAAGGCACGCUGACACGUAGGUGAAGUGAUUUACUCAUGGAGCUGAAGUCAGUCGAAGAUACCAGCUGGCUGCAACUGUUUAUUAAAAACACAGCACUGUGCAAACACGAAAGUGGACGUAUACGGUGUGACGCCUGCCCGGUGCCGGAAGGUUAAUUGAUGGGGUCAGCGCAAGCGAAGCUCCUGAUCGAAGCCCCGGUAAACGGCGGCCGUAACUAUAACGGUCCUAAGGUAGCGAAAUUCCUUGUCGGGUAAGUUCCGACCUGCACGAAUGGCGUAAUGAUGGCCAGGCUGUCUCCACCCGAGACUCAGUGAAAUUGAACUCGCUGUGAAGAUGCAGUGUACCCGCGGCAAGACGGAAAGACCCCGUGAACCUUUACUAUAGCUUGACACUGAACAUUGAGCCUUGAUGUGUAGGAUAGGUGGGAGGCUUUGAAGUGUGGACGCCAGUCUGCAUGGAGCCGGCCUUGAAAUACCACCCUUUAAUGUUUGAUGUUCUAACGUGGACCCGUGAUCCGGGUUGCGGACAGUGUCUGGUGGGUAGUUUGACUGGGGCGGUCUCCUCCUAAAGAGUAACGGAGGAGCACGAAGGUUGGCUAAUCCUGGUCGGACAUCAGGAGGUUAGUGCAAUGGCAUAAGCCAGCUUGACUGCGAGCGUGACGGCGCGAGCAGGUGCGAAAGCAGGUCAUAGUGAUCCGGUGGUUCUGAAUGGAAGGGCCAUCGCUCAACGGAUAAAAGGUACUCCGGGGAUAACAGGCUGAUACCGCCCAAGAGUUCAUAUCGACGGCGGUGUUUGGCACCUCGAUGUCGGCUCAUCACAUCCUGGGGCUGAAGUAGGUCCCAAGGGUAUGGCUGUUCGCCAUUUAAAGUGGUACGCGAGCUGGGUUUAGAACGUCGUGAGACAGUUCGGUCCCUAUCUGCCGUGGGCGCUGGAGAACUGAGGGGGGCUGCUCCUAGUACGAGAGGACCGGAGUGGACGCAUCACUGGUGUUCGGGUUGUCAUGCCAAUGGCACUGCCCGGUAGCUAAAUGCGGAAGAGAUAAGUGCUGAAAGCAUCUAAGCACGAAACUUGCCCCGAGAUGAGUUCUCCCUGAGACUUAGAGUCUCCUGAAGGAACGUUGAAGACGACGACGUUGAUAGGCCGGGUGUGUAAGCGCAGCGAUGCGUUGAGCUAACCGGUACUAAUGAACCGUGAGGCUUAACCUUACA
Molecule: ribosomal RNA, 1585 nt
Filed under: Salmonella enterica
Lineage: Bacteria; Pseudomonadati; Pseudomonadota; Gammaproteobacteria; Enterobacterales; Enterobacteriaceae
Description: partial 23S ribosomal RNA
Rfam family: Bacterial large subunit ribosomal RNA
Source: RNAcentral